This 451-nucleotide long non-coding RNA is filed under the name Pongo abelii (Sumatran orangutan). Its description in RNAcentral is "lincRNA". Lineage: Eukaryota; Metazoa; Chordata; Mammalia; Primates; Hominidae. The record is from RNAcentral.
CCCCGCUGGAAACUUGAUUUUGCGCUUUCCAGCCUCUAGAACUAAUACGUGAAAAACAUUUAAAUCAGAAAGUAAAUAACAGGAUGAUUUGCAAGACACAGAGAUGUAAAAUUAAAAAGCCUCUCGAGCUCCAAAGGGGGACGCAUCAGGAGGAUAAUUCCAAGAGUUUAGUGGUGAAUUUCCUUGGCUUCCACUGAGCUACCUGUUAACUUCAACAAGCACACUGGCCUGGAGACUACAUGAUGGUGUAUCAGUUAUGGAUUUACAACUGCAAACGUCUCAAGCAGCAGUGCCACAUCCUUGCUACCUCCCUGCUACCUCCCUGCUUUUGCGUGUGUCCCUACAUUAUCCAAAAUAGGGGUGGGCUAAUGACGAUUGCAGGCUAAUUCCAGCCCACCACUUGCUUCUGUAAAUAAAAUCUUAUUGUACACAAACAUAGCCAGUUAUUUAA